RNAcentral lists this transfer RNA (72 nucleotides) under Bos taurus (domestic cattle). It matches the Rfam family "tRNA". From Rfam's summary of the family: Transfer RNA (tRNA) molecules are approximately 80 nucleotides in length. Their secondary structure includes four short double-helical elements and three loops (D, anti-codon, and T loops). The record is from Rfam by way of RNAcentral. Lineage: Eukaryota; Metazoa; Chordata; Mammalia; Artiodactyla; Bovidae. RNAcentral also lists the same sequence under 4 other names.
UCCCUAGUGGUCUGGUGGUUGGGACUCUGUGCUGCUAAUGCAGGGGCCCAGGUUUGAUUCCAGGUCAGGGAA